RNAcentral lists this long non-coding RNA (1339 nucleotides) under Homo sapiens (human). RNAcentral describes it as "HSALNT0064550". Lineage: Eukaryota; Metazoa; Chordata; Mammalia; Primates; Hominidae. The record is from RNAcentral.
GCCAAAGUGGAUUGGCUGUGGUCUCGGUGUAGCACGAUGGAAUCUGGUGGCUUAAACCUAGCUGUCCACAUUUCACUAUCUGAAGAGCAGAAAAUGUGUUAAUAGGAGCCUGGUGAGUGGAGGAGACUGAAGAUGGAGAGAGAGCCUGGACCUCAACAUGAGCAUCUGGAGCCAUUUGGCAGCAUUAGGCUGUGACCGCUUAGAGAACCGAAAGAAAAGAGAAAACAUUUCCAUGGAAGAGGAAACAGGAAAUUCCAACAGAUCAGCAACAGUUGGAGUGCUAACCUGUCACUGGAAUGGGAAAAAAAAUGCUGUCGUUGACACAUCUUUUCCUUGUUUUUGACACAAAUUAGAAACACCACCUGGAACACAGCUGUGACUUGAUAAACAAGUGAAACAUUCUUUGGUGUGGUGAGGGGAAAACAAAUUUCUCAAAGGACACGCACCAUGGUGUAUGAGAGGACACUGGAGCCCAGCCAGCAUCUGACAUGCUGAAUUCAAAGUGCAGAAGACAGAGAUGAAGAAAAGAAGGAAGUGGAGGCAAUGAGGAAAGGAGGGAAGAAGGAAGGAAGGAAAUCAUGCUUGAAAGAAGUUGUGGAACAUGUCAAGUUUUUUUCCGGAUGUGGCGGAGAUUAUGCAGCUACAAUGAAGCCAGAUUAAGAUUUCAGGAAAAUGGACAGAUCUCUACAAUGUUCUCCAAAGAGAUUGUUUUGCUUGCCAAUAAAAAGAGACACCUGGGAGCACCAUACUCUCUCCUGUUCCUCUGGGUAUCAUAUUUCCUUAUGACACCUGAAACUCUGAUGCCUUCUGGGUCCAUGAAAGCAGUGAGAUGAGCACAGGAAACCACGCUGAGGAUGGUUGAGCAAAAAGGUGACAUUGAGCCACUGGAUUAACCUGCCCAGAAACAGGAUAUCUUCAGAUUUCUUGUUAAGUAAGAAAAUGUAAUUUUGUUGAUUCUAAGUUACACUUUCUUUUGUUAGUUCAACAUCUCUGAAAUCAGAACAUAUUUUGCCAUGGUAAUAUCUUACCAUCACUGUAAUAUGUAAUAUCCUUACAUAGGUGUCAUUGCCUAUGCAUGUGUCAACUUGAUUGCUAUUCUCUGUGAUAUGACUGACAACUGCAGCCCUUUGACAGUUCAGUCGACAAACCAUUGAAGAUUAUUAGGGUAAGAAAUACUGCUUUCUGUCUGAAAACUUUCCAAUGACAUCUUCUGAAAAGACAAAGAAAGUAUCAGCAUCAAAAUUUGCGUAAUAGGCCGGGCGCGGUGGCUCACGCCUGUAAUCCCAGCACUUUGGGAGGCCGAGGCGGGCGGAUCACGAGGUCAGGAGAUCGAGACCAU